Molecule: long non-coding RNA, 293 nt
Filed under: Elaeis guineensis (African oil palm)
Lineage: Eukaryota; Viridiplantae; Streptophyta; Magnoliopsida; Arecales; Arecaceae
Description: long non-coding RNA (EGUI_LNC005943)
Source: RNAcentral
ACAUUAGUCUCAUAGUGGAUGCCAAUAUUGUGGUCGAGAGCUCGUGGCUAAGAUAGAUCGGUCUUCACUCCUACGUACGUAAAGUAUUAUCUGAUUCGACUUCUAGUCGAUAAGACAUGGAACCUCACGAUUUUACCUUUCAAAUGGCAUAUCACAGAGGAGAGAAGAUCCUAUUCUAUAUAAGUCAAAAUAUCUUUUAACUCACAAUCAAUAUGAAACUAAUAAUGUUUUUCCUCCUAUAUCACAACAAGAAUCAUAAUGUCUUUAAUAGAUUUUCAGGACCAUACCACCCG